Long non-coding RNA from Symphalangus syndactylus (siamang), 543 nucleotides. RefSeq lists it as uncharacterized. The record is from RefSeq and is a predicted model, not a curated record. NCBI's taxonomy places the organism in Eukaryota, Metazoa, Chordata, Mammalia, Primates, Hylobatidae.
GGAGGCUAGCGUUGGGCGUGGACCGUCGAGGUCACUGGCGGCUGUCGGAUCAGCUGUUGCUUGCUGACCUGGCAGCCAUGGGUAAUGACGGAUGCCCAGACCCUGUGGGCGGAGUAAAGAAAUCCUGCACUGAUACACGCACACUCACCGAGGGGCGCGGCCGUCUGCGUGGCCCUCAUCUCGUAGCCGAAAAGAGCGCGUUCCGGGGCAGGCCUCCGGGUACUUCCCGCAGAGGACCGGGCUUUAUCCUCUUUGCUCCUUUUCCUCCCCUAUCAAACAAAGGCUCCAGAGGUAUAUGAAAAAAGGAAACAAAGCCAGAAGUUUAACAUCAACAAGAAAGAAAAAAGAAGAAAUCUACAUUUAAAAGUAUUAGAUAUCCUGUUCUGCUGUCCCACACCUUCAAACCUCAGUAAAUAAAUGCUGCUAAGUGCCACCAGGAGUGAAAGAGCUUGUAAUGAGAAGUGUGAGGAGAUAUGUGCUCCAUUCAUCAUUCUGUUCAGGCCAAUAUUGAGGCUCUUGUUAUCAGCAGGAUUCGUGGCGAUG